UCUGGUGGCAAUAGAGAGGGGGACACACCUGAUCCCAUCUCGAACUCAGCAGUUAAGCCCCUCGUCGCCGAUGGUACUGUACACAAGAGUACGGGAGAGUAGGUAGCCGCCAGAU
Molecule: ribosomal RNA, 115 nt
Filed under: Parachlamydiales bacterium
Lineage: Bacteria; Pseudomonadati; Chlamydiota; Chlamydiia; Parachlamydiales
Source: RNAcentral